CAGCAGCCACGGUAAUACGAAGGGGGCUAGCGUUGUUCGGAAUUACUGGGCGUAAAGGGCGCGUAGGCGGCCAUUCAAGUUAGAUGUGAAAGCCCUGGGCUCAACCUAGGAAUUGCAUUUGAUACUGUUUGGCUUGAGUUCGGGAGAGGUGAGUGGAAUUCCCAGUGUAGAGGUGAAAUUCGUAGAUAUUGGGAAGGACACCAGUGGCGAAGGCGGCUCACUGACCGACACUGACGCUGAGGCGCGAAAGCGUGGGGAGCAAACAGGAUUAGAUACCCCCGUAGUCCCUGUCUCUUAUACC
This 301-nucleotide ribosomal RNA is filed under the name uncultured bacterium. RNAcentral's name for it is "partial 16S ribosomal RNA". It matches the Rfam family "Bacterial small subunit ribosomal RNA", at positions 509 to 808 of the family's 1533-position model. The record is from RNAcentral.